GUCCAGACUCCUACGGGAGGCAGCAGUGGGGAAUAUUGCACAAUGGGGGAAACCCUGAUGCAGCGACGCCGCGUGAGCGAUGAAGUAUUUCGGUAUGUAAAGCUCUAUCAGCAGGGAAGAAGAUGACGGUACCUGACUAAGAAGCCCCGGCUAACUACGUGCCAGCAGCCGCGGUAAUACGUAGGGGGCAAGCGUUAUCCGGAUUUACUGGGUGUAAAGGGAGCGUAGACGGCGGCGCAAGCCAGAUGUGAAAGCCCGGGGCUCAACUCCGGGACUGCAUUUGGAACUGUGUGGCUGGAGUGUCGGAGAGGCAGGCGGAAUUCCUAGUGUAGCGGUGAAAUGCGUAGAUAUUAGGAGGAACACCAGUGGCGAAGGCGGCCUGCUGGACGAUGACUGACGUUGAGGCUCGAAAGCGUGGGGAGCAAACAGGAUUAGAUACCCGUGUAA
RNAcentral lists this ribosomal RNA (447 nucleotides) under uncultured bacterium. RNAcentral describes it as "bacterial SSU rRNA". It matches the Rfam family "Bacterial small subunit ribosomal RNA", at positions 329 to 793 of the family's 1533-position model. The record is from RNAcentral.